Molecule: long non-coding RNA, 720 nt
Filed under: Homo sapiens (human)
Lineage: Eukaryota; Metazoa; Chordata; Mammalia; Primates; Hominidae
Description: HSALNT0187395
Source: RNAcentral
CCUUGGUGAGGGAGGAAAGAAGGCAAAGCCACAUCUGAAGUCUCUCGGCCAGAAGAACCCUCUGUUCUGAGGCCAACAGUCCCCAGAAAGUCCCAAUCAAUCUCUCAGCAAAUUCCACAGGAUCUGUCAGAUUCAGAUCCAGUCAACUGCAGGCCGAGUGCUCUUCGCAUCUCAUCUUAUCUACUGCAGGAAGCAACCUGAGGGCAGCAAAGAGGAAGACAGCUGGUAUGAACGGGCUCUGAAACCUACCAGCUGUGCGGCCCAGAGAAAGCUACCUAACCUCUCUGAGCUUCAGCUGCUUCAGCUGUAAAAUGCUACAGGUCACCACUGUCUGGGUUGUUUGCUACUACCUUCUGCUGCUGCCUGAGAAAACCUGGGAGACUGUGAUCACAUUUUUUUUCCUGUAGAGCUGCCCGAAUACAGCUCUUCUCAAAGCCUUGCAGCAGAGAUGAUACAGCCAUCAGCAGCUGAUCCUGGAAUGAGUGUUGAGAGCAGCACAGACCACUCUACGUUUCUGCUCUGACCACAGGUCUGGCCUAGAAUUUGCCCCUCCACUGCACAAUGCAGGUAAAAACCUUUAAAAAAAUAAAUAAAUGGUCUCUGAGCCUCCCAGAAAUACAGCACUUAGAAUGUUGUUUUUGGAGGGGGCAUGUGAUAAAGAAUGGGAAAGAUAAUAAAGUAGCCUGUCACCCAGCUCACAGGCAGGUGCAUGUGGCUGCA